RNAcentral lists this ribosomal RNA (772 nucleotides) under uncultured bacterium. RNAcentral's name for it is "bacterial SSU rRNA". It matches the Rfam family "Bacterial small subunit ribosomal RNA", at positions 8 to 796 of the family's 1533-position model. The record is from RNAcentral.
AGAGUUUGAUCAUGGCUCAGGACGAACGCUGGCGGCGUGCUUAACACAUGCAAGUCGAACGGAAAGGCCCUUCGGGGUACUCGAGUGGCGAACGGGUGAGUAACACGUGGGUGAUCUGCCCUGCACUUUGGGAUAAGCCUGGGAAACUGGGUCUAAUACCGAAUACACCUCACUGGCUGCAUGGUUGGUGGGGGAAAGCUUUUGCGGUGUGGGAUGGGCCCGCGGCCUAUCAGCUUGUUGGUGAGGUUACGGCUCACCAAGGCGACGACGGGUAGCCGGCCUGAGAGGGUGACCGGCCACACUGGGACUGAGAUACGGCCCAGACUCCUACGGGAGGCAGCAGUGGGGAAUAUUGCACAAUGGGCGCAAGCCUGAUGCAGCGACGCCGCGUGGGGGAUGACGGCCUUCAGGUUGUAAACUCCUUUCAGCACAGACGAAGCGCAAGUGACGGUAUGUGCAGAAGAAGGACCGGCCAACUACGUGCCAGCAGCCGCGGUAAUACGUAGGGUCCGAGCGUUGUCCGGAAUUACUGGGCGUAAAGAGCUCGUAGGUGGUUUGUCGCGUUGUUCGUGAAAACUCACAGCUUAACUGUGGGCGUGCGGGCGAUACGGGCAGACUUGAGUACUGCAGGGGAGACUGGAAUUCCUGGUGUAGCGGUGGAAUGCGCAGAUAUCAGGAGGAACACCGGUGGCGAAGGCGGGUCUCUGGGCAGUAACUGACGCUGAGGAGCGAAAGCGUGGGGAGCGAACAGGAUUAGAUACCCUGGUAGUCC